Molecule: long non-coding RNA, 1825 nt
Organism: Marmota monax (woodchuck)
Lineage: Eukaryota; Metazoa; Chordata; Mammalia; Rodentia; Sciuridae
Exons: 4
Source: RefSeq, a predicted model, not a curated record
UAUGAUUUUUUUUUUCUCACACAGGUUAAACAACUGAUGCUUUACAGUAUACUGUGUUGCUAAGCUAUGAUAUUCAGAAAGUUAGGUAUCUUAAUUGCAUUUUCCAAUUGCAAUAUUUUACUGGUGACAGGCUUAUCAAGGUGUAGCCCAUCAUAAGCUAAAAAGAAUCUGCAUGUCCUCACAAUGACCGAAUCCCAGCUUUGCAUCACAGAACAACAUGGGAACUUCAAACUUUGCAACUAAAUUAAAGUUGCAGUGCACAACUAGCACUCUCUGAACCUGGCUGAGAAAAGUAAAAAUCCUCUCUGGAAGAAGGUAACUUUAAUUUAUGCCUCAAAUUGUUUCUACAAAUAAGUUUCCAAAUACACAAGAAGUAAAAGUACAUUGCAGUAAAGAAACCAUAAGCAAGAGUCCAUCAAAAAGACCAGAAAAUGAAACCCUGAGGGACCCUGGUAUUAUAAUUAUCAGACACAGAAUAUGAAACAAAAGUGUUUGGUGUAUUCAAGGAGCAAAAGGAAGGGCAUAAAGUUUUAAGGAACAGAAGCUAUAACCUGCAAUAAGACAAAAAAUGGAAUUCUAGAACUAAAAAUGACAAAAAUAAAAAUUAAAAACUAAGUGGACAGGUUUAGAAGCAAAUUAAACACAGCUGAAGAGAAAAAAAAUAGGUGAGAAGAAUUUAGUCAGAAAGAAGCAUAAAGCCACAAAAGAUGGAAAAAUGUAGAAAGAAAGUAAGAGACCUAGGAUAUGUGAACAGAUUUAAUAUAUUUUUAACUGGAAGAGAGAAGCUAGAAACUUGGCAGGGGCAACUUAGAGAUAAUGAUUCAAAGUAACCCAGAACUGAUGAAAGACAUCAAUUCACUCUAAGAAGUUGAACAUCUCAAGUAGGAUUUUGAAAAGAAAAAGAAAAAAGAAACCCAAAUUCACAUAGUGAAUUGUGGAAAAAUAAAGCUGAAAAGCAACCAGAAAAAAGAGAGACAGAUUUUCUUUGGAGGAACAACAGCUAGACUAACAGCUGACUUCUCAAUAAGAACCAUGGAAGUUGGAAGCUAGCAAAAUAACUUCAGUGUACUGAAAAGGAAAUGUAGUCACAUGUGGCAUAGCAACACUUCCGUCAGCAAGGGACUGUGUAUUUGAUACUGCCCCAUAAGAUUAUAUUGCCUGGUGAUGUCACAGCCAUCUAAGUUUGAUGACAUUAGAAGUACUUCUCUACCUGCCUGAUGACACUUGAAUCUCUCAGCACAUGCAUGGGAGAAGGAGGAAGGAACAAAGAGGCCACCUGCUGCUCUUUUCUUAAUGCCACCAAGGAAACACUCUAUCCUAACAGGGAAAUGAAGGAAACUUGCCCUUGAGAGCAGAAGCUGGCCUGGAGGUGACAUGGGUUGCCAGGCUCUGGAGGAAGCGGGUCCCAAGAAACUGAAUCCUGACAUCAAACACGGGAGAGAGCUUGGAAGCAGAUCUUCCCCAGGCAAGCCUUCAGAGGAGCUUGGAAUCAAAAUGGGAAGACCAGACGUGCCCAUAAGAAGAACAAAGCAGUGGAUGAAGGGAAAAAAACAGACCAAGAAGCCUAGUGAUGAGCUAAAUGUUGAUCUAGACUGGCUCAGGGUUCCCAACUGGUAUGGAGAAGCCACGUGCAAGUAUCAGAUCCAUUCCAUGUUGUGGAGAGUUUCAACAGGGCUUGGUGACCAAAGAGUUCUCAAGGAACUUUAAUGGGUGCUUCUGAAUUAUGAUUGGUGAUAGAAACUGCCUAUAAUCUUAAAUUUGAAAUAACUUGGAUGCACGUUAGCAUACUUAUGGUAUAAAUAAUAAUAAUGGCAAUAAACAUUUA